RNAcentral lists this ribosomal RNA (1489 nucleotides) under metagenome. RNAcentral describes it as "bacterial SSU rRNA". It matches the Rfam family "Bacterial small subunit ribosomal RNA". The record is from RNAcentral.
AGAGUUUGAUCAUGGCUCAGGAUGAACGCUAGCGGCAGGCUUAACACAUGCAAGUCGAGGGGCAGCGCGGGAUAGCAAUAUCCUGGCGGCGACCGGCGGAAGGGUGCGUAACGCGUGAGCGACAUGCCCGUUGCCCGGGGACAACCGGUGGAAACGCCGACUAAUCCCCGAUGGGAUACGAUGCUUCAUGGCAUUGUAUUGAAAGUUACGGCGGCGACGGAUUGGCUCGCGUCCGAUUAGCUUGUUGGCGGGGUAACGGCCCACCAAGGCUACGAUCGGUAGGGGUUCUGAGAGGAAGGCCCCCCACAAUGGGACUGAGACACGGCCCAUACUCCUACGGGAGGCAGCAGUGAGGAAUAUUGGUCAAUGGGCGGAAGCCUGAACCAGCCAUGCCGCGUGCGGGAAGGAGGCCCUAUGGGCUGUGAACCGCUUUUGCCUGGGGGCAAUAAGGGCGUCGCGCACGUCCGAUGAGAGUACCAGGCGAAUAAGCAUCGGCUAACUCCGUGCCAGCAGCCGCGGUAAUACGGGGGAUGCGAGCGUUAUCCGGAUUCAUUGGGUUUAAAGGGCGCGUAGGCUGUGCGUCAAGUCGGGGGUGAAAUUCCGGUGCUCAACACCGGGGCUGCCCUUGAUACUGUCGCGCUGGAGUGCGGAUGCCGCCGGAGGAAUGAGUGGUGUAGCGGUGAAAUGCUUAGAUAUCACUCAGAACACCGAUUGCGAAGGCAUCUGGCGAAUCCGUAACUGACGCUGAGGCACGAAAGCGUGGGGAUAAAACAGGAUUAGAUACCCUGGUAGUCCACACCGUAAACGAUGAUUACUAGGUGUUGGAGGAUUGACCCCUUCAGUGCCGCAGUUAACACAAUAAGUAAUCCACCUGGGGAGUACGACCGCAAGGUUGAAACUCAAAGGAAUUGACGGGGGCCCGCACAAGCAGUGGAGUAUGUGGUUUAAUUCGACGCAACGCGAAGAACCUUACCAAGUCUUGACAUCCCUUGACGAUGCUGGAAACAGUAUUUCUCUUCGGAGCAAGGAGACAGGUGGUGCAUGGUUGUCGUCAGCUCGUGUCGUGAGAUGUUGGGUUAAGUCCCGCAACGAGCGCAACCCUUAUGGUCAGUUACUACGCAAGAGGACUCUGGCCAGACUGCCGUUGACAAAACGGAGGAAGGUGGGGAUGACGUCAAAUCAUCAUGCCCUUUAUGACUUGGGCUACACACGUACUACAAUGGCGUUAAACAGAGAGAAGCAAGACCGCGAGGUGGAGCAAAACUCAGAAACAACGUCCCAGUUCGGACUGCAGGCUGCAACUCGCCUGCACGAAGUCGGAAUUGCUAGUAAUCGUGGAUCAGCAUGCCACGGUGAAUACGUUCCCGGGCCUUGUACACACCGCCCGUCACACCAUGAGAGCCGGGGGGACCCGAAGUCGGUAGUCUAACCGCAAGGAGGACGCCACCGAAGGUAAAACUGGUGAUUGGGGUGAAGUCGUAACAAGGUA